Molecule: ribosomal RNA, 253 nt
Filed under: uncultured bacterium
Lineage: Bacteria
Description: partial 16S ribosomal RNA
Rfam family: Bacterial small subunit ribosomal RNA
Source: RNAcentral
UACGGAGGAUCCAAGCGUUAUCCGGAUUCACUGGGUUUAAAGGGUGCGUAGGCGGGCAGGUAAGUCCGUGGUGAAAUCUCUGAGCUUAACUCAGAAACUGCCAUGGAUACUAUUUGUCUUGAAUAUUGUGGAGGUAAGCGGAAUAUGUCAUGUAGCGGUGAAAUGCUUAGAUAUGACAUAGAACACCAAUUGCGAAGGCAGCUCGCUGGGACGUCACUGACGCUGAGACGCGAAAGCGUGGGGAGCAAACAGG